AUUCUACUCCCUCCGUUGCACAAUACUACAUGCCUUCUAUUUGUCAAAACAUAUAUGUAUCUAGACAUGUCUUAGUAUAUAGGUACAUCCAUUUUUGGACAAAUGGAAGUCAAGUAUUUUGGAACGGAGGGAGUACACA
Triticum aestivum (bread wheat) is the source of this 139-nucleotide non-coding RNA. The record is from Rfam. NCBI's taxonomy places the organism in Eukaryota, Viridiplantae, Streptophyta, Magnoliopsida, Poales, Poaceae.